GCCCUAGAUGAUAUCUAAGGUGUAACCUGCCCAAUGGUUUUACAUUAAAAAGAUAUAAAAAAAUCUUUAAUAAAACUAAAAGGACGCAGUAACCUUGACUGUGAUAAUGUAGCGUAAUCAUUCGCCAUUUAAUUGAUGGAUAGUAUGAAUGGUUGAACGAAUAUUCCACUGUCUUAAAAAGAAAUACUAGAGAAAUUUAAAUAAUAGUAAAGAUGCUAUUUAAAACUGUAAGACGAAAAGACCCUAUAGAGCUUAACUAUAUUCUCUUUCAUUAAAAGUAAAAACAAUUGCGUGAUUAAAGAGGAUGGUAGUUUAGUUGGGGCGACUAUCUUUUAAAAAUAACGAAGAUAAGCAAAGUAAAUAUAUUACUACUUAUUGUAUGAAAAAGGUUUCUAACAAUUACGAUAGUAGGCUAUAAUGACCCGUUGAUUGUUUGUAAAAAUAUUAACGAUUAAUCAAUAAAAGCUACCUUAGGGAUAACAGGAUUAUUUCAUUUUCGAGAUCAUAUCUAAAAUGAAGUUUGUCACCUCUAUGUUGAAUUGAGAUAUCCUGAUAAUGUAGCAGUUAUCAAAGGUGGGUCUGUUCGACCCUUAAAAUCUU
Molecule: ribosomal RNA, 600 nt
Filed under: Orchistoma pileus
Lineage: Eukaryota; Metazoa; Cnidaria; Hydrozoa; Leptothecata; Orchistomatidae
Description: partial large subunit ribosomal RNA
Rfam family: Bacterial large subunit ribosomal RNA
Source: RNAcentral